AGUGAACGCUGGCGGUAGGCCUAACACAUGCAAGUCGAACGGCAGCACAGUAAGAGCUUGCUCUUACGGGUGGCGAGUGGCGGACGGGUGAGGAAUACAUCGGAAUCUACUUUUUCGUGGGGGAUAACGUAGGGAAACUUACGCUAAUACCGCAUACGACCUACGGGUGAAAGCAGGGGAACUUCGGACCUUGCGCGAUUGAAUGAGCCGAUGUCGGUUUAGCUAGUUGGCGGGGUAAAGGCCCACCAAGGCGACGAUCCGUAGCUGGUCUGAGAGGAUGGUCAGCCACACUGGAACUGAGACACGGUCCAGACUCCUACGGGAGGCAGCAGUGGGGAAUAUUGGACAAUGGGCGCAAGCCUGAUCCAGCCAUACCGCGUGGGUGAAGAAGGCCUUCGGGUUGUAAAGCCCUUUUGUUGGGGAAGAAAAGCAGCAGGUUAAUACCCCGCUGUUCUGACGGUACCCAAAGAAUAAGCACCGGCUAACUUCGUG
RNAcentral lists this ribosomal RNA (492 nucleotides) under uncultured bacterium. Its description in RNAcentral is "partial 16S ribosomal RNA". It matches the Rfam family "Bacterial small subunit ribosomal RNA", at positions 29 to 507 of the family's 1533-position model. The record is from RNAcentral.